This 84-nucleotide transfer RNA is filed under the name Brassica napus (rape). RNAcentral's name for it is "tRNA-Leu (CAA) (tRNA-Leu-CAA-8-1)". It matches the Rfam family "tRNA". From Rfam's summary of the family: Transfer RNA (tRNA) molecules are approximately 80 nucleotides in length. The record is from Rfam by way of RNAcentral. Lineage: Eukaryota; Viridiplantae; Streptophyta; Magnoliopsida; Brassicales; Brassicaceae.
GUCAGGAUGGCCGAGUGGUCUAAAGCGCCAGACUCAAGUUCUGGUCCUUGUAAGAGGGCGUGGGUUCAAACCCCACUUCUGACA